RNAcentral lists this ribosomal RNA (510 nucleotides) under uncultured bacterium. RNAcentral's name for it is "partial 16S ribosomal RNA". It matches the Rfam family "Bacterial small subunit ribosomal RNA", at positions 28 to 507 of the family's 1533-position model. The record is from RNAcentral.
GACGAACGCUGGCGGCGUGCUUAACACAUGCAAGUCGAACGAAGAGCGAUGGAAGCUUGCUUCUAUCAAUCUUAGUGGCGAACGGGUGAGUAACGCGUAAUCAACCUGCCCUUCAGAGGGGGACAACAGUUGGAAACGACUGCUAAUACCGCAUACGAUCUGACCUCGGCAUCGAGGAUAGAUGAAAGGUGGCCUCUACAUGUAAGCUAUCACUGAAGGAGGGGAUUGCGUCUGAUUAGCUAGUUGGAGGGGUAACGGCCCACCAAGGCGAUGAUCAGUAGCCGGUCUGAGAGGAUGAACGGCCACAUUGGGACUGAGACACGGCCCAGACUCCUACGGGAGGCAGCAGUGGGGAAUCUUCCGCAAUGGACGAAAGUCUGACGGAGCAACGCCGCGUGAGUGAUGACGGCCUUCGGGUUGUAAAGCUCUGUUAAUCGGGACGAAAGGCCUUUUUGCGAAUAGUGAGAAGGACUGACGGUACCGGAAUAGAAAGCCACGGCUAACUACGUG